AGAGGAGAGAUGGUGACACUCUGGGGGUCACUGCAGUGGGUGGGCACCAAACCACCCUCUGCUGGCUGGGAAAAAGAGGAUUUCUCACCAAAAACAACCCAGUCACAAAAAUACAGACUUCACAAGCCAAAGAGCUGCCAGCACCUGCCUGGAGCUAUCAGCCAGGGGCCAGGCACUGGUGGCAGGGUGUGACAGCAGCACAGGGACACAGGGGGACACUGAGCUGGGGAGCAGAGCGAUGAAGGUGCAGCUCUCACCACCCCAGCACAGGAACAGCUCUCUCAAGGUGCACCUUUACCAUCCCAGCCCUCUGGAGGUGCAGUUUUCACUAUCCCAGCUCUCUGGAGGUGCAGUUUUCACUAUCCCAGCUCUCUGGAGGUGCAGUUUUCACCAUCCCAGCCCUCUGGAGGUGCAGUUUUCACCAUCCCAGCCCUCUGGAGGUGCAGUUUUCACCAUCCCAGCCCUCUGGAGGUGCAGUUUUCACCAUCCCAGCCCUCUGGAGGUGCAGUUUUCACCAUCCCAGCCCUCUGGAGGUGCAGUUUUCACUAUCCCAGCUCUCUGGAGGUGCAGUUUUCACCAUCCCAGCCCUCUGGAGGUGCAGUUUUCACCAUCCCAGCCCUCUGGAGGUGCAGUUUUCACUAUCCCAACCCUCUGGAGGUGCAGUUUUCACUAUCCCAACCCUCUGGAGGUGCAGUUUUCACUAUCCCAGCCCUCUGGAGGUGCAGUUUUCACUAUCCCAGCCCUCUGGAGGUGCAGUUUUCACUAUCCCAGCCCUCUGGAGGUGCAGUUUUCACUAUCCCAGCCCUCUGGAGGUGCAGCCUGCAGGCUCCAUCCCUCCCCUCUGCAUGACUCUGAGCACACUCAUUUUGGAGUGCAUGUGUCAAUAACUGCUGGGCUGAUGGGAGCAGAUUAGAUGUUCCCAGUGGUUGCCACCAAUAAAUACAAACACCACAAGAAUUUCCAGGUGACAUUCUUAGCAUUGAUGUUUCCACUUCCCAAGAGGUUUCGAGAUCUGAAGAGGAUCUACCUGCAGCAGGUAUGAAUUUACUGACCUCACUGCACCUUGUGUAACAAAUAUCCCAAGGCUCCUCUGAACCAUCCCCCAAAUACUGACAUCAAGGCAUGGCCAGGAGAUCCCAGGGUGUGACACAGGAAUUGGGGGCAGCAGAAAGAACUGCCCAGGCUCAGGGGGAGAUCAGAAAUGCUCACAAGGAGGAGAAGUGUGGGGGGGAAUGGUGAACAGUGAGCACAGGAAAAAAUCAAAGCUGUUAUUAAUGGGAGUUGGGAAGUUCUCAGGAGCAGUUUGGGCCAUGGGCAAUUUCAAAGCCACCAAAUGUUGGAAACUGCACCAGAAACUCAAACUUCAUGAACUGCAUGAGCCACCCAAGCAUGGCUGAUGGACAGAACUGCCCCUGGCAGCUCCUCCUCGCAGAAAUCCCAGCUCCACCUGCAGGAAGUGAUUCAGCCCAUCCUGCCAGGCUGAUCAGGCAGAGCAGGUGCCCAUGGCAGGGCUGCAAUACCUGGGACAAGCUGCUACUGCUCCAUCCCACCUACACAGCCCCCUCAGAGGUUUGUAAACACACACUGCAAACACAUUCCCCAGGGCUGAGCUCACUGCUGCCACGAAACAGCAGCACAGGGCUGCAAAGCCACACCUCAGCACCUGGUCCUGCUGCACUUGUACCUGACACAGGUAACUCCCAAAAGAAUCAGAAUGCUGGGGAUCUUCCCCCUAAGCCAGGUUAAAAAAAAAAAGGAAUUAAAUUUUUAAAUUUUUUGUAACAAAUUGUUGAGAUUCAGUCAAGCAAGAUCUGUCUCCUCCUCAGGGGAGAGCUGCAGGCUGGGAGUGCCUUACAGACAGGUUUGGAGGCAGCCACUCCCUGGCAGGCAGCUGAAGCACCAAAGCUCAGGAGUGGGGUUUGCAUUUCAGCCCCAGGCCUGACCAUGCAGCUGCUCCAUCCUGGCAGGACUGAAGGGAAGAGAGGAGCUCUGCAGGCACCUGGAAAUGCCUCACCAGGGUCCCAUGUGCCAGGGAUGAGAGAGAGCUGGGCCAGGGCAGGGCACAGCAGCAGGGCUGCCACCCUGGCUGGAUUGAUUAGAGCUGUGCUGGAUGGCCUCAGUGCCACUAAUUACCCACUAAUGAAGCCCUGCCAGAGCUGGGGCUCACUGCACACCCAGAGAAUAGCUGGAAUUCCUAGAACUGCUCUGGGUACCCAACCUACCCCAGCUCCACCUCGUAAUCGAGCUAAAUCCCUCUUUAAGAACCCUUAAACCCUGGAAUUUGACCUUUGGAAACCUUGAUUUGCUGAAAUACUUUGCAGUGGACAGACUUGCCAAUGAAUACUUGCAAAUCUCAUUGAGAGGCCUGUGCUGCUGUAUCCCAUUCCCAGCCUUACAUAAACCCCCCAUCACAUGGGCAACAGUUACAAAACAUCCCAGCGUGGAAAUUUCCUCCCUAAACACGAGAUAUUUUAACACCCAAACACAAUUUCACAUUUCUUUAACCCAAAGAAAUACCUCUGCAGGUUUUGGUUAUUCCCAAAGUUUAGCUCAGCAUGUUAAACAGCUGUGCAGUGGGACACAGGCUUGGAAAGAUUUAUAUUUAUAUU
This is a long non-coding RNA of Serinus canaria (Common canary), 2609 nucleotides long. RefSeq lists it as uncharacterized. The transcript is spliced from 3 exons. NCBI's taxonomy places the organism in Eukaryota, Metazoa, Chordata, Aves, Passeriformes, Fringillidae. The record is from RefSeq and is a predicted model, not a curated record.